CCUGGGGGUGCGCUUUGCUUGCGUGGACACAAAGCGCGCUGACGAGGACGCGCUUUGCUGCCACGUAGGCAAAGCGCGCCCUCGGGG
Molecule: non-coding RNA, 87 nt
Organism: Gossypium raimondii (Peruvian cotton)
Lineage: Eukaryota; Viridiplantae; Streptophyta; Magnoliopsida; Malvales; Malvaceae
Source: Rfam